GAUCUAUGGCUCAGGAUGAACGCUAGCUACAGGCUUAACACAUGCAAGUCGAGGGGCAUCAGGAAGAAAGCUUGCUUUCUUUGCUGGCGACCGGCGCACGGGUGAGUAACACGUAUCCAACCUGCCCUUUACUCGGGGAUAGCCUUUCGAAAGAAAGAUUAAUACCCGAUGGGAUAAUCAUUCCGCAUGGUUUGAUUAUUAAAGGAUUCCGGUAAAGGAUGGGGAUGCGUUCCAUUAGGUUGUUGGUGAGGUAACGG
Molecule: ribosomal RNA, 257 nt
Filed under: uncultured bacterium
Lineage: Bacteria
Description: partial 16S ribosomal RNA
Rfam family: Bacterial small subunit ribosomal RNA
Source: RNAcentral